RNAcentral lists this ribosomal RNA (253 nucleotides) under uncultured bacterium. RNAcentral describes it as "partial 16S ribosomal RNA". It matches the Rfam family "Bacterial small subunit ribosomal RNA", at positions 524 to 776 of the family's 1533-position model. The record is from RNAcentral.
UACGGGGGGUGCAAGCGUUAAUCAGAAUUACUGGGCGUAAAGCGUUCGUAGGUUGUUAAAUAAGUCGGAUGUGAAAUCCCUAGGCUCAACCUAGGAAUUGCAUUCGAUACUGUUUAGCUAGAGUUUAGUAGAGGAUUGGGGAAUUUCCGGUGUAGCGGUGAAAUGCGUAGAGAUCGGAAAGAACAUCAAUGGCGAAGGCAACAGUCUGGACUUGAACUGACACUGAAGGACGAAAGCGUGGGUAGCAAACAGG